GUGUCAGCAGCCGCGGUAAUACCGGCGGCUCGAGUGGUGGCCGAUAUUAUUGAGUCUAAAGGGUCCGUAGCCGGCUUUGCAAGUCUCUCGGGAAAUCCAGCGGCUUAACCGUUGGUCGUCCGGGGGGUACUACAUUGCUUGGGACUGGGAGAGGUAGGAGGUACUCAGGGGGUAGGAGUGAAAUCCUGUAAUCCUUUGGGGACCACCGGUGGCGAAGGCGUCCUACCAGAACAGGUCCGACGGUGAGGGACGAAAGCUAGGGGCACGAACCGGAUUAGAUACCCGGGUAGUCCUAGCCGUAAACGAUGCUCGCUAGGUGUCACAACAGUCGUGAACUGUUGUGGUGCCGUAGGGAAGCCGUGAAGCGAGCCACUUGGGAAGUACGACCGCAAGGUUGAA
RNAcentral lists this ribosomal RNA (399 nucleotides) under uncultured bacterium. RNAcentral's name for it is "bacterial SSU rRNA". It matches the Rfam family "Archaeal small subunit ribosomal RNA", at positions 455 to 853 of the family's 1478-position model. The record is from RNAcentral.